Molecule: long non-coding RNA, 1806 nt
Filed under: Triticum aestivum (bread wheat)
Lineage: Eukaryota; Viridiplantae; Streptophyta; Magnoliopsida; Poales; Poaceae
Description: long non-coding RNA (TAES_LNC024089)
Source: RNAcentral
AACAAAUAUACUAAUAUUUAGGAAAAGGUGUGCAUACCCUCCUUACCAAAGCAAUUAAAUGUACAUAUGUUGCCACUGGAUAAUAUAAAUAUUAUGUAACCACACAUUGUUUUACUAUUGUUAUAUAGAGAACCCCAAUAUUAGUCUUCUUUUUCUAUCUAGAGGGAACUUUUGCCUUCCUCAUUUCCUAUUUUCAAGACGUUUCUUUCUACACUCACCUCGCUAAUAUACAUGUGGUUUUUUCUCCUCUAUUCAUCCUUCUCCAUCAGACCAUCGGAUCUAAUAAACUAUGCCACUAUAUUUUUGUCACUACAUCUUUGUUAUGCUCCUUGAUCGUCCCCUUAGGGAAGCACCAACACUCGGUACUUAGCACAUGCGCCAGGAUCAGAAACCUGGCCGAUUGGCACUUAUCCCUCUCUCGGAACAGGCUUUCGCCCUGCUUUAAGCAACGAAACAAAGUACACAGGCGAACGAUACAAUAUAGUGGAGAGGUCCCCUUACAAAGUAGAUCAAAAGAUACAAAGAACAAGCCUAACACCUCGCCGAGGCACGAACAACGACCCCCGAGCUCAAUGACAACGCUCCCAAGAGGGUGACGGCGCGAAACGUCGCCGAAUGUUAGUGUUAGAUAUAGCGUCGGCGUGAGACAUUUCCAUAUGACAAAGGCAAAGUCACAUUUGGUGCAAACUUAGAUCUGAUUUUCUAGCAUCCUCCAUCAUGCGGUACCAUAUUCCCUGAAAACUAAUACCAAUAAAAUGCAUGACUUGUAGAAGUCGUCAAUAAUGAAUGCUGAAGUCUAGUAAAAAUUUGUGUUUUUCUAUAAACAUGCUAAAAACCAUAGAAUAAGCCAUUCCCAACAUUUGAUAUCACAAAAAGAUAAACUUAGCAAGUUGAAAAGGUCUAAAUCACCUUCUUUGAAACAUGUAGUAAAUCGUGAGGAACAUACAUUUUGCCUUCAUUUCUUAAAACCGGGUCACAAACCGCAGAUAGUUUGAACAUAUAUUAGCAAAUUCUGUUAAGAAUUCAUCUAUGAAGACACAAUAAGAUUUUGUACAAAAGAAUAACCAUAGGGAUAAUGGAAGGUGAGAAAAGGUUAUGAAUGGAAACAGAGCCAACGUAGUCUGAAUAGCAUAAAUAGCAUGGUACAUAAAAAACUAUUGAGAAAAUAAAUAAAUAUCAUGCUUAUUUGGUAUAAAGAAUUUCACUGUCAUUAAAGAAUUUCACUGUCAUUAAGGAUGAUGCUAAUUAUUUGCAAUCACAAUGAAGUAUGAGUGAAGACCAAUCAACUUGUAUUCUUUUUCUUUAACAUGAAGGAUGGGAAUAAGUCGUAAUGGUCAUUCACUUGUUAACAAAUUUGUAUGGUCGCCAGUCCUUCAAUAAGAAUCCGCAGUUGAUCGCCAUUGAGACACUGUCCUCCAAAGUUGAGUAUCCUGAGAUAAAGCAUAGUGGGAAAUAUUUAGCCAUGCCACACAUAUUGCACAUUGUAUCGAACAGCCCAAUUAUAUAAAUGUAUGAUUAGAGAACUGUGCAUGGUUUAUUGGAUCCAUAUCAAACCCAAGGAGUGGCAAAGGAAAGACAAGAUGCGAUAUAAGCAAAUCAUCUUUCAAUCUAAAGAGUAAAUUGCAUUUGUUGCCAGAUAUUAUGUUUAGUAGUCGUGAGUUCACCUUGUAUGUUCACAUCAUGCACAUAAAGUGGACCUUCUUUAAUUUUGAUUACACCACUACAAGCACACCCAAAUCCACAAAAAGAACAAAAAAUAAAUCACAAAACCUUCUUCAUAGCUCUACCUCUCUCCACCAUGCGGCC